GUUAAAACAUCACAACACUUUUCCCUGAAAUCCCUAUAACUGGUCUUGCAUAAUUUACCAAACCUCCUCAACUAAUAUAAUUUUAAAGAGAUCAAAGAACAUUAUAUAAAAUAUUCUUUUAUAUGUACAAUGUACAUAAAACAAAACUUUGGUUGUUUCAAAAAAUUAUAAUAAUUGACAUUGUGAUAUUAGCUGCAUAGAUAGAAAUCUACCUUAUGUAAAUGAAUAUCAAUUAAUUCGAGUUCAACAAAUCUUUACAAAAAGUCUGUUUUAACUUUGUUAUUAUAAGAACCCUACAAAACACCAUAAUUCAAUUUCUGUUUCGUAUUUAAAUGUUUUAAAAUCCACCAAAGUCUUGUAUAUGUACAUGUAUACAUGCACUUGCAUAAGGUUUGAAUACUAGGCCUUCUUUUACUUUAAGGGUCCCUUUACUUUAGAGUUUAGGUUCAUUAAUGGUUAUGGUUAGGUUAGGGGAUGUUUUAGGUUAGGGUCAGGUUUAAGGAUUAGGGCUAGUGUUAGGUUUAGGUAUGGGUUAGGGUAAGGUUUGGGGUUAAGAAUAGUUUAGUAUAGCUAUUUAUGGGUUGGGACCUCUAAAGUAAUAGAAGGCCGAAUACUAUAUGACGCAGCUCGUAUAUCAAAUAUUCCUCACAGAUAUGUGUCAAUAGUUUUAUCCCUGAUAUUUUCACAUUACAAAGGUUAAUAAGCAUAACAUUUGUAUUCUAACAUUCUAACAGAUACAUGUACAUUGCAUGGACUUCAGUAUCGGUCACUAUCAAUUUUUUACUGUAAUUAUUUUAUAUAAAAUCACAUUUAAUUUUUUUUUUAAUUAUGGAGUCAUUUCUUGACAUAUUGUUAUAAAUUUGGUACCAAAACCUAUCGAUUUGUCAUAGGUUAUAUUGUCUAUUUGGUUUAAAUUAUGGCUAUGAAGUUAUGUCUUUUGCUGAAGAUUUAAUCAACAGUUUUAUUAUUUAAUAAUUUAAUUUUGGAUGUAACGCCUCUUGUGAUUGGCCGACGUUAUAUUGUUAUCAGACCAUAGACAUAAUUUAAUCAUGUG
Molecule: long non-coding RNA, 1054 nt
Filed under: Mytilus galloprovincialis (Mediterranean mussel)
Lineage: Eukaryota; Metazoa; Mollusca; Bivalvia; Mytilida; Mytilidae
Source: RNAcentral